GUCAGGUAAAAGAAUCAAUAAAUCUGAAUCGUGACAUUUCAUAAACUAUGGACUAUAACUGCUCAUGCUCUCAUGAUUCUUGCUUUUCAGGUGUCAAACACCAAAUCUGCUCUUGAUUAAUGCUUGAUUGAAGCUGAUUCUGUGGUAAUUCGACAUGGUGCUUCGGCCUUGUAAACAGGAAGGAAGCAGCUGAAUUAUAUCGACUCUGUCAUGUUCUUUCUGAAAUACUGAAUGGAAGUGCUGUCUUUAUCAGCAAGGCAGUCA
This 264-nucleotide long non-coding RNA is filed under the name Elaeis guineensis (African oil palm). RNAcentral describes it as "long non-coding RNA (EGUI_LNC051785)". The record is from RNAcentral. Lineage: Eukaryota; Viridiplantae; Streptophyta; Magnoliopsida; Arecales; Arecaceae.